CCUACGGGGGGCUGCAGUGGGGAAUAUUGCACAAUGGGCGAAAGCCUGAUGCAGCGACGCCGCGUGAGCGAAGAAGGCCUUCGGGUCGUAAAGCUAUGUCCUAUGGGAAGAAAGAUGACGGUACCAUAGGGGGAAGCCCGGGCUAACUACGUUCCAGCAGCCGCGGUAAUACGUAGGGGGGGAGCGUUGUUCGGUAUGACUGGGCGUAAAGUGAACGUGGGCGGCUAGAUAAGUCAGAUGUGAAAGGCGUAGGCUUAACCGGUGUAAUUCUUUGAAACUGUGUAGCUUGAGUCAAGUAGAGGAAAGGGGAGUUCCUGGUGUAGCGUUGAAAUUCGUAGAUAUGAGGAGGAGUACCGGUGGCUAAGGCGACUUGCUGAACUUAGACUGAUGCUGAGGUACGAAAGCGUGGGGGGCAAACAGGAUGAGAUACUAUUUUAGUC
This 440-nucleotide ribosomal RNA is filed under the name uncultured bacterium. RNAcentral's name for it is "bacterial SSU rRNA". It matches the Rfam family "Bacterial small subunit ribosomal RNA", at positions 338 to 795 of the family's 1533-position model. The record is from RNAcentral.